Molecule: ribosomal RNA, 344 nt
Filed under: uncultured soil bacterium
Lineage: Bacteria
Description: bacterial SSU rRNA
Rfam family: Bacterial small subunit ribosomal RNA
Source: RNAcentral
AGAUUGAACGCUGGCGGCAUGCCUUACACAUGCAAGUCGAACGGCAGCACGGGAGCAAUCCUGGUGGCGAGUGGCGAACGGGUGAGUAAUAUAUCGGAACGUGCCCAGUCGUGGGGGAUAACGUAGAGAAAUUUACGCUAAUACCGCAUACGAUCCAAGGAUGAAAGCGGGGGACCGUAAGGCCUCGCGCGACUGGAGCGGCUGAUAUCAGAUUAGCUUGUUGGUGAGGUAAAAGCUCACCAAGGCGACGAUCUGUAGCUGGUUUGAGAGAACGACCAGCCACACUGGGACUGAGACACGGCCCAGACUCCUACGGGAGGCAGCAGUGGGGAAUUUUGGACAAU